GUCGGUUAACUUCUCUGCUAGUUUUAUUGGUGCAGCUAAAGCGGACAAAGUAUAUUGUGAAUAAAAUCUGGCCAAAAAAGUCUUCCCAGAAAUGAUCAAUCAUUUGUCUAAAAGCUGGCCUGACAGCAUAACCGUUGCCAUAAGCCAAGAAAAUCUACAACAAAUGUAUCUCUGCAGUACACUGGACAUUUGGCAUGAUGAGGAACGAGAUCUGUCUACAGUAGGAGCAGAAGGGACGUUUGGACCUACUGCCAGCAGGCUGUAACAGACAGAUGGGUUUUCACACAAACAACAGAAAACAUCAAGAGCAGUCAGGCUGGCACAAGCGGAAGAAGAAUCAGCAAAGGGGAGAAAGUCUGGAUAAUGAGGCACUGCUAGCAGGAGAUGAUAAUUCACUUUGUGCUGGGAGAAGACAAACUGUCCACGCUGUUUAGAGUUCAACUCUUUAGUUGCAAAGCCAUAUGGAUAUUUGGUACACUGUAGUAAGCUGACUGCAGUGAAACAUAAUAAGCAGCAGAUGGCAGGCAAACAUCAGAAUCCCUGUUGCAUCAAUGAAGUUUUGCAAGCAAAGGACAGUACCAAAUCAGGCAUUACACAAAAGCAGGCAGUCCUCUCACCAGUAGAAGGCAGGUGUCUACAAGGCAGAACGUUCCAGAGCGGCCAAUACCAGCGCUGCAGUGGACCACGACAGGACCGUGCUCUAGAC
Molecule: long non-coding RNA, 706 nt
Organism: Puntigrus tetrazona (Sumatra barb)
Lineage: Eukaryota; Metazoa; Chordata; Actinopteri; Cypriniformes; Cyprinidae
Exons: 5
Source: RefSeq, a predicted model, not a curated record